AGCUUUGCCUCUUUCGAUCUUCGGGGAACUAGAGGAAGAUGAAGAAUCAGGUGCGGGCGAUCCAUCUUUUGGCGAUGGUGGCGCUAGCUUUUUCUCUAGGAAAAAUGUUGAUUCUGUAAAGAAGGGAUCAGGUUUAAAUGUGAAUGAUUUGGUUGCUAAUUUAUAUAAACAGAGUGAUCAUAAAAAUGAGUAUUUACUAGAUUUGAAAGGAUCGAAUUCUGUAGACAAAACGAAUAAGAACGCAAAAAAUUCAGAUUUGAAUAUAAGUUUUCUGAAUUUAGGUGCAGUCGAACCUAAUUCGAAUGCACGCUCAUCAGAUUCUAGUUCGAAUUGGAUAUAUUCGAAUGCCAAUGAUUUGAACGAGAAUGGUAAAGAUGAGCUGAAAUUGAAUUCACAGUUGUUGAAUUUGGAUUGGGAUCCAUUGAAU
RNAcentral lists this unclassified non-coding RNA (427 nucleotides) under Hevea brasiliensis (rubber tree). Lineage: Eukaryota; Viridiplantae; Streptophyta; Magnoliopsida; Malpighiales; Euphorbiaceae. The record is from RNAcentral.